Molecule: ribosomal RNA, 391 nt
Filed under: uncultured bacterium
Lineage: Bacteria
Description: bacterial SSU rRNA
Rfam family: Bacterial small subunit ribosomal RNA
Source: RNAcentral
GACGAACGCUGGCGGCGUGCUUAACACAUGCAAGUCACGGGGGGCUCCGCGAGGAGGAACCGGCGAACGGGUGCGUAACACGUGAGCAACCUGCCGUUGUGAGGGGGAUAGCCGGGCUAACGCCCGGGUAAUACCGCAUACGGUCGUUUGGGGGAGUCCCUGGACGAAGAAACCUGUGGGGCAACUCAUGGGGCACAGCGAGGGGCUCGCGGCCUAUCAGCUAGUUGGCGGGGUAAUGGCCCACCAAGGCGGCGACGGGUAGCUGGUCUGAGAGGAUGGCCAGCCACAUUGGGACUGAGAGACGGCCCAGACUCCUACGGGAGGCAGCAGUGGGGAAUCUUGCGCAAUGGCCUAACGGCUGACGCAGCGACGCCGCGUGUGGGAGGACGCC